GUCGGUUUCGCCACACCCCCAAAUGUGUUUUUUCCCGUACAAGCAUGGGGGGCAGGCUAGCGCUGUUUAUCGAUAUGUGGGGCAUGAUCACCGCAGAUGUGUGGGUUUUAAAUACGGUCAGGGGUUUCCACCUAGAUCUGUUGUCCCACCCUGUCCAAACAUGUAUACCACAGGAACUGAGAUUACUGGAAGAGCAGUCUGGGUUGAUUACAGCGGAAAUCGCGGAACUUCAUGCCAAACAGGCAAUACAGGAAGUCCCGUACGAGCACCCAGGGUUCCUAAGCAAUUUGUUCCUUGUUGCCAAGAAGGGCAGAGGAGUUCGACCUGUCAUAAAUCUCAAACGCCUCAACGAAUUUCUCCGCUGCCAUCACUUCAAGAUGGAAGGCAUUCAUUGUCUUAGAGACCUGCUGCGACAAGGUGACUAGAUGUUCAAGCUGGACCUCAAAGAUGCCUAUUUGACCAUACCAAUGGCAGAGGAGCACUGGGACUUUACGUGGCAAGGACGUCGGUUUACCUGUCUGCCAUUCGGUCUAUCUUCAGCUCCCUGGUGCUUCACAAAGGUAAUGAAGCCAGUAGUGGCGUUCCUCAGGGCUCGGGGGGUCCGCAUGAUUAUUUACCUGGACGACAUCCUAAUUAUGUCUUCAUCCCCUCGAC
This is a non-coding RNA of Pelobates cultripes (western spadefoot toad), 654 nucleotides long. The record is from the annotation of a GenBank genome assembly. NCBI's taxonomy places the organism in Eukaryota, Metazoa, Chordata, Amphibia, Anura, Pelobatidae.